Molecule: ribosomal RNA, 253 nt
Filed under: uncultured bacterium
Lineage: Bacteria
Description: partial 16S ribosomal RNA
Rfam family: Bacterial small subunit ribosomal RNA
Source: RNAcentral
UACAGAGGUCUCAGGCGUUGUUCGGAUUCAUUGGGCGUAAAGGGUGUGUAGGUGGCGCGCUAAGUCGGGUGUGAAAUUUCGGAGCUUAACUCCGAAACUGCAUUCGAUACUGGCGUGCUUGAGGACUGGAGAGGAGAUUGGAAUUCAUGGUGUAGCAGUGAAAUGCGUAGAGAUCAUGAGGAAGACCAGUGGCGAAGGCGGGUCUCUGGACAGUUCCUGACACUGAGACACGAAGGCCAGGGGAGCAAACGGG